Molecule: ribosomal RNA, 600 nt
Filed under: uncultured Bacteroidota bacterium
Lineage: Bacteria; Pseudomonadati; Bacteroidota
Description: bacterial SSU rRNA
Rfam family: Bacterial small subunit ribosomal RNA
Source: RNAcentral
CCGGCGCACGGGUGCGUAACGCGUAUGCAACCUACCUCUAACUGGGGAAUAGCCCCGAGAAAUCGGGAUUAAUACCUCAUAAUAUUCAUCUUUCGCAUGUUAGAUGAAUAAAAGUUCCGACGGUUAGAGAUGGGCAUGCGUGACAUUAGCUAGUUGGUGAGGUAACGGCUCACCAAGGCAGCGAUGUCUAGGGGUUCUGAGAGGAUUUUCCCCCACACUGGUACUGAGACACGGACCAGACUCCUACGGGAGGCAGCAGUAAGGAAUAUUGGUCAAUGGGCGAAAGCCUGAACCAGCCAUGCCGCGUGCAGGAUGACGGCCCUACGGGUUGUAAACUGCUUUUGUAUAGGAAGAAACCUCACUACGUGUAGUGGGCUGACGGUACUAUACGAAUAAGCACCGGCUAACUCCGUGCCAGCAGCCGCGGUAAUACGGAGGGUGCAAGCGUUAUCCGGAUUCAUUGGGUUUAAAGGGUGCGCACGCGGAAUGAUUAAUCAGUGGUGAAAUCCUACAGCUCAACUGUGGAACUGCCAUUGAUACUGUCAUUCUUGAGUACAGUUGAAGUGGGCAGGAAUGUAUCACGUAACGGUGAAAUGCAUA